RNAcentral lists this ribosomal RNA (21 nucleotides) under Syncephalastrum racemosum. RNAcentral describes it as "partial 28S ribosomal RNA". Lineage: Eukaryota; Fungi; Mucoromycota; Mucoromycetes; Mucorales; Syncephalastraceae. The record is from RNAcentral.
UGAAAUCAAGUAGGAUUACCC